Molecule: non-coding RNA, 1189 nt
Organism: Podarcis muralis (Common wall lizard)
Lineage: Eukaryota; Metazoa; Chordata; Lepidosauria; Squamata; Lacertidae
Source: RefSeq, a predicted model, not a curated record
GCGGCUCCCCUCAGCCCCCGCGACAAGGCCUCCGUGGGGUUUCCUGAAGGAGCAGCGCUUCUCCUCUGGGAAACUCGACGUCAAAAUCGAGACUCCAGACCUUAAAUAUGCUUACUUGAAAGUUAGCUCGAUCGAAACCAAGAGGAUUUGCCGGCGGGGGGGAAGUGUUUUAAGAUGAGAGCGUUCAUGUGAAAUGCUUUUAUUAUUUCUCUUGCCGAAAUCUUACUUUUGGGGCGUAGUUUCCUCCCGCCGCGCUCCCCCAAAUCCAUUUUGCCACUUCUGUACCUCCCUCCAUUCAUUUUCCUGAUGCUGCUGCUACGAGUCAGAAUCGAGGCCCCAAAGGUGGAGACCUGAAUUAAUAUUGCAGCAUUGUCUUUUUCUGGUCUGGCUUUUGUUUCUUCAACAGCUGUUUGCCGGGUGGACGUUGGCGAGCUUAAUGCGUUCAUGGCUGAAGAGGAAAAUGAGCACCACUUGUCAGAUUGUCAAAUUUGGUUCUGCUAUAGUUUGCUUUUGGGAUGUUGACCUGAAGAGGUCGCUAGAUAUACAUCCAAGAAACAGGUCAUUUUAUGUUGAAAAAUGGAUAAUUAUUCCAAGGAGUAAACUAAAACUUCUGUGAGCAAGAAAGGAGCCCCAGCUGAUGAAGCAUCUAAGCCCCAGUGACAGAGCAUUAAAUUAACAAGCAAGUCAUUCAAGAAGGUUCUUAAACUAGAAAGAGUCCUGCUGGAUCAGGCCAAAGGCUCAUCCAUCCAACAGACAAGUUACCACGGGAACUAAAGAACCCUGGGAAAUGAAAACUGUUGUGGGGAAAGAUCUUCCUAAGUUGCAGGUUGAUCUGCAGGAAUCGGCUGCUGGAGCUUUUCAUGAUGUGGAGAUAAAUGCCUUCACCCGAUAACACCUGCCGAUAAAACUACUGCUAAAGGUUUUACCACCACAGGGAUGGUUUAAAAGCAUUGUGGGCAAUGUUUCCAGAGAACUGCCACCUCCAGCCUAGGAACAACACCCCCACCGCAUGCUGCAACAGAAAAAGCUAUUGAGUGGGAUAUCUCAAUGAAGAAAGAUGGACCACGCCUCAACACUGGAGCACUAAGCAGCUUUCCAAUUCUCCUGAGUUCCUAUCACAAGUCUAUGGUUUUGCUGACAAUCUGACAAUACAAAUAAAAAAAAUAAAACGUACAUUUCAAACACAUUA